AUGGCCAGCUUCGCCUCCCAGCUCCUGGACGUGUUCUACGACCUCGUCGAGCGCGUCACCGGCUACAGCGCCCGCGCCCAAGACGACAAAGCGCAUGCAGAUCUACAGAAGCACAGCAUGUUGGCAACUAGGGAGGCUUUCCGGACAGAGGAAGUUGUCGAGAUCAGGUCCAGAAAUCACCCGGAAGUACCAGGAGGGUCAGGCGCCCAGGUCAAUUAA
This 219-nucleotide ribosomal RNA is filed under the name Triticum aestivum (bread wheat). RNAcentral describes it as "partial small subunit ribosomal RNA". Lineage: Eukaryota; Viridiplantae; Streptophyta; Magnoliopsida; Poales; Poaceae. The record is from RNAcentral.